This 385-nucleotide long non-coding RNA is filed under the name Trifolium pratense (red clover). RNAcentral's name for it is "long non-coding RNA (TPRA_LNC006085)". The record is from RNAcentral. Lineage: Eukaryota; Viridiplantae; Streptophyta; Magnoliopsida; Fabales; Fabaceae.
AAGAAACACUGACAUUUCAGAUUAAAGAUAUUUCUGGUGUCUGACACCGAUACAUAGGUCGUGUUUAUGUGUCAGUAUCGAUGUCGGAUGUUAGUGUUUCAUAGAAGGAUAUAAAUUAAUUAAUCAAGUCAUGUUUGUGUUUAUAAGUACAUAUACCCCAAAAGUGGUGGUAUUCUUUAGUUAAUCUAUUUGUUUUAUAGUGUUUUCUUGUGUCUUGGAAAAUUAUCUUGUUGCUAAGUUUAAUUUAAAUAUUAUUCAAGUUCAAUGUAAGUUAAAUUGCAAAGCAAUGUUGUGACAAAAAUUGUCACCUUAAGGAUGUGUCUAUUGUAUAAUCACAAUAGUUAAAAUGAAUACAUAUAUAUAUUUGUUCAAUUAGCUUUUACUA